AUGAAGACACUGGCUGGACCUUUGUUCCUGUGCUUGUGGCUGCAGCUGAACUGUGCUAGCAGAGGAGAGCGGGUGAACCAAAGUCCUUCCCACCUGAGUGUCCAGGAGGGAGCCAGCGCUGUUAUCACCUGCACCUACACAGAUGAUAACAGUUAUUACUUCUCCUGGUACAAGCAAGAGCCUGGGGCAGGCCUCCAAUUCUUCAUAAAUGUUAUUUCAGGCAUGGACAGAAAACAGGAACAAGGACUCAUUGUCUUACUGAAUAAGAAGGAGAAACGCCUCUCCCUGAACAUCACAGCUGCCCGUCCUGGGGACUCAGCCACAUACUUCUGUGCAGCCAGUGCACAGUGCUCCCCGGGCACCUGCGGCCUGCACACAAACCUGGGAAGUGGGGAGAGGAGCAACUUUAAAAAUGUCGGAAACAGAAGAUUUUCCCCCUUCAACUCUUAG
Molecule: non-coding RNA, 450 nt
Organism: Psammomys obesus (fat sand rat)
Lineage: Eukaryota; Metazoa; Chordata; Mammalia; Rodentia; Muridae
Source: the annotation of a RefSeq genome assembly